RNAcentral lists this long non-coding RNA (892 nucleotides) under Cricetulus griseus (Chinese hamster). RNAcentral's name for it is "lncRNA (ENSCGRG00015039485.1)". The record is from RNAcentral. Lineage: Eukaryota; Metazoa; Chordata; Mammalia; Rodentia; Cricetidae.
GUGAUCCUCCUGCCUCAGGCUCCAGAGUAUGGGGAUUAUAGGCACAUGCCACCCUGCCUAGCUAACUUAUUAGCUUAAUGAGAAUUUAAUUUGUAAUUUGAGAAGAUUUGUGGAUCAGAAAAUCGGCAGAAAUUUCACAAGAAAACAGCCAAAUCGUUAAGCACAGAUUCUUCACAGUGGAUUGCUGAGGAUGGGCCAUGAGCAGACAAGUGGGCAGCAAGGAUGCAGAGGCGGCAGAAGAGACUGGGGACACACGACACGGAAGACACGGAAGACACGGAAGACACGGAAGACACAGACGACCUGGACAUCUCAUCCACAGGACACAGACCAAGACAUCUCAUCCACACGGCACAGACAACCCAGACAUCUCAUCCACACGACACAGACAACCCAGACAUCUCAUCCACACGACACAGACAACUCAGACAUCUCAUCCACACGACACAGACAACUCAGACAUCUCAUCCACACGACACAGACAACUCAGACAUCUCAUCCACACGACACAGACGACACAGACAUCUCAUCCACACGACACAGACAGACCGGGACAUCUCAUCCACACGACACAGACCGGGACAUCUCAUCCACACGGCACAGACAACCCAGACAUCUCAUCCACACGGCACAGACUCACAUCUCAUUUCUCCAGACCCUCCUCCUUCACGACUCCUCGAACCAGCACCAGUUUUGCAUGCCAUUGUUUCCUUAUCUCAGUCUUUUCACGCCCAACCCAGGGCAAAAGGCUUUCCAUUCAGAAAUAAAGAACUGACGGUAUCAGUCACCUGACCCAGCAGGUGGAAGCCAGCAUUGCGGUCUUCCUCUCUUUCCUCCCCUCUAGCCCAAGUCCAGGGCGGAUGCGCCUUUCUAGGUUAGAUCUACUCUCUCC